RNAcentral lists this transfer RNA (73 nucleotides) under Xenopus tropicalis (tropical clawed frog). Its description in RNAcentral is "tRNA-Ile (TAT) (tRNA-Ile-TAT-15-1)". It matches the Rfam family "tRNA". Rfam says of the family: Transfer RNA (tRNA) molecules are approximately 80 nucleotides in length. Their secondary structure includes four short double-helical elements and three loops (D, anti-codon, and T loops). The record is from Rfam by way of RNAcentral. Lineage: Eukaryota; Metazoa; Chordata; Amphibia; Anura; Pipidae.
GGUUUCAUAGUGUAGUGGUCAUCAUGUCUGCUUUAUACGCCGAAGGCCCUGGGUUCAUUCCCCAGUGAAAGCA